ACGGGUGAGUAAUGUCUGGGGAUCUGCCCGAUAGAGGGGGAUAACCACUGGAAACGGUGGCUAAUACCGCAUAACGUCGCAAGACCAAAGAGGGGGACCUUCGGGCCUCUCACUAUCGGAUGAACCCAGAUGGGAUUAGCUAGUAGGCGGGGUAAUGGCCCACCUAGGCGACGAUCCCUAGCUGGUCUGAGAGGAUGACCAGCCACACUGGAACUGAGACACGGUCCGGACUCCUACGGGAGGCAGCAGUGGGGAAUAUUGCACAAUGGGCGCAAGCCUGAUGCAGCCAUGCCGCGUGUAUGAAGAAGGCCUUCGGGUUGUAAAGUACUUUCAGCGGGGAGGAAGGCAGUGAGGUUAAUAACCUUACUGAUUGACGUUACCCGCAGAAGAAGCACCGGCUAACUCCGUGCCAGCAGCCGCGGUAAUACGGAGGGUGCAAGCGUUAAUCGGAAUUACUGGGCGUAAAGCGCACGCAGGCGGUCUGUUAAGUCAGAUGUGAAAUCCCCGGGCUUAACCUGGGAACUGCAUUUGAAACUGGCAGGCUUGAGUCUCGUAGAGGGGGGUAGAAUUCCAUGUG
Molecule: ribosomal RNA, 577 nt
Filed under: uncultured bacterium
Lineage: Bacteria
Description: bacterial SSU rRNA
Rfam family: Bacterial small subunit ribosomal RNA
Source: RNAcentral